UUCCUAUGAUGAGUUUGCCAUGCUAAUACCGACGUGCCAGACUGACUUGGCGCGAGUGAGUUCAACUUUACUUCUCACACUUUCAGUGUGCUCUGAUGGAA
Molecule: small nucleolar RNA, 101 nt
Organism: Tachysurus fulvidraco (yellow catfish)
Lineage: Eukaryota; Metazoa; Chordata; Actinopteri; Siluriformes; Bagridae
Source: RefSeq, a predicted model, not a curated record